UGGCGGCGUGCCUAACACAUGCAAGUCGAACGGGAAUCUUCGGAUUCUAGUGGCGGACGGGUGAGUAACGCGUAAGAAUCUAACUUCAGGACGGGGACAACAGUUGGAAACGACUGCUAAUACCCGAUGUGCCGCAAGGUGAAAACUAAUUGGCCUGAAGAAGAGCUUGCGUCUGAUUAGCUAGUUGGUGGGGUAAGAGCCUACCAAGGCGACGAUCAGUAGCUGGUCUGAGAGGAUGAGCAGCCACACUGGGACUGAGACACGGCCCAGACUCCUACGGGAGGCAGCAGUGGGGAAUUUUCCGCAAUGGGCGAAGGCCUGACGGAGCAACGCCGCGUGAGGGAGGAAGGUCUUUGGAUUGUAAACCUCUUUUCUCAAGGAAGAAGUUCUGACGGUACUUGAGGAAUCAGCCUCGGCUAACUCCGUGCCAGCAGCCGCGGUAAUACGGGGGAGGCAAGCGUUAUCCGGAAUUAUUGGGCGUAAAGCGUCCGCAGGUGGUCAGCCAAGUCUGCCGUCAAAUCAGGUUGCUUAACGACCUAAAGGCGGUGGAAACUGGCAGACUAGAGAGCAGUAGGGGUAGCAGGAAUUCCCAGUGUAGCGGUGAAAUGCGUAGAGAUUGGGAAGAACAUCGGUGGCGAAAGCGUGCUACUGGGCUGUAUCUGACACUCAGGGACGAAAGCUAGGGGAGCGAAAGGGAUUAGAUACCCCUGUAGUCCUAGCCGUAAACGAUGGAUACUAGGCGUGGCUUGUAUCGACCCGAGCCGUGCCGAAGCUAACGCGUUAAGUAUCC
Molecule: ribosomal RNA, 790 nt
Filed under: uncultured cyanobacterium
Lineage: Bacteria; Bacillati; Cyanobacteriota
Description: bacterial SSU rRNA
Rfam family: Bacterial small subunit ribosomal RNA
Source: RNAcentral